CUCCAACCCAUCUACAUGUCCUCCGACCCCAUCUACACAUCCUCCAACCCCAUCUACACAUCUACACGUCCUACAACCCCAUCUACACAUCCUACAACCCCAUCUACACAUCCUACAACCCCAUCUACAAAUUCUCCAACCCCAUCUGCACAUCCUCCAACCCCAUCUACACAUCCUCCAACCCCAUCUACACAUCUACAACCCCAUCGUCCUACAACCCCAUCUACACAUCCUACAACCCCAUCUACACAUUCUCCAGCCCCAUCUACACGUCCUCCAACCCCCCAUCUACACAUCCUCCAACCCAUCUACACAUCCUCCAACCCCAUCUACACGUCCUCCAACCCGAUCUACACAUCCUCCAACCCCAUCUACACGUCCUCCAACCCCAUCUACACAUCCUCCAACCCCAUCUACACAUCCUCCAACCCCAUCUACACAUCCUCCAACCCCAUCUACACAUCUCCAACCCCAUCACAUCCUCCAACCCCAUCUACACAUCCUCCAACCCCAUCUACACAUCCUCCAACCCCAUCUACACAUCCUCCAACCCCCCAUCUACACAUCCUACAACCCCAUCUACACAUCCUACAACCCCAUCUACACAUCCUCCAACCCCAUCUACACAUCCUCCAACCCCAUCUACACAUCCUCCAACCCCAUCUACACAUCCUACAACCCCAUCUACACAUCCUACACCCAUCUACAAUCCUCCAACCCCAUCUACACAUCCUCCAACCCCAUAUACACAUCCUCCACCCCCAUCUACACAUCCUCCAACCCCAUCUACACGUCCUCCAACCCCAUCUACG
Molecule: long non-coding RNA, 812 nt
Organism: Oncorhynchus tshawytscha (Chinook salmon)
Lineage: Eukaryota; Metazoa; Chordata; Actinopteri; Salmoniformes; Salmonidae
Source: Ensembl